AGCACGCUGGCGGCUACCAAGCUGGAGGAGGCGGCGGGCGCGAGACUGGGAAUGCGCAGGGCCCCCUCCCUGCCCCCACAGCCUGGGCCACGGGCCCCAUCUUCCCCGCUGCUGCGCGGCACUCAGUGCCCACCCCCCGACGAGGCCGGCAGCUGCUCCCACCCGGGGGCGUUGUCAGCUGCGCCGGGCCGCGCGCUGGGAGGCGAGGGCACGCAUGGGGAGCCUCCGUUGAUGCCACCACCACGCCGCCCUCCGAGGCUGCGUCCCGGGAAGCCCGGCUACCCGAGCGCUCCGGCCUGGCCCGGUGCCCCGGACCUGAGUGUGUCCGCAUGGAGGAGCCCCGACUGGCCCAGGCGGCCGUGGCGGAGAGCGACCCCCGAGAGGUGUGGGAGGAGACCCCCGGCUGGGCACCCGCAUUCUGCCCCAGCCCCAAGGCCUGGUCGCCGGAGCCGCCUGCCCACCGCCUGCAGGACUUCGACACACUGGCCACCGUGGGCACUGGGACGUUCGGGCGGGUGCACCCGGUGAAGGAGAAGACCGCCAAGCAUUUCUUCGCCCUCAAGUUGAUGAGCAUUCCUGAUGUCAUCCGCCUGGCAGGAGCAGCACGUGCACAUUGAGAGGUGUGUCCGGAAGGAAUCAUCCGCCCGUCCCUCAUCUGCGUCCGGAAGGAAUCCCUUCCUCAUCUGCGUCCGGAAGGAAGUCAUCCGCCCGUCGCUCAUCUGCGUCCGGAAGGAAGUCAUCCGCCCGUCCCUCAUCUGCGUCCGGAAGGAAGUCAUCCGCCCGUCCCUCAUCUGCGUCCGGAAGGAAGUCAUCCGCCCGUCGCUCAUCUGCGUCCGGAAGGAAGUCAUCCGCCCGUCCCUCAUCUGCGUCCGGAAGGAAGUCAUCCGCCCGUCCCUCAUCUGCGUCCCGAAGGAAUCAUCCGCCCGUCCCUCAUCUGCGUCCGGAAGGAAGUCAUCCGCCCGUCCCUCAUCUGUGUCCGGAAGGAAGUCAUCAGCCCGUCCCUCAUCUGCGUCCGGAAGGAAGUCAUCCGCCCGUCCCUCAUCUGCGUCCGGAAGGAAGUCAUCCGCCCGUCCCUCAUCUGCGUCUGGAAGGAAGUCAUCUGCUCGUUCCUCAUCUGCGUCCGGAAGGAAGUCAUCUGCUCGUUCCUCAUCUGCGUCCGGAAGGAAGUCAUCCGCCCAUCCCUCAUCUGCGUCUGGAAGGAAGUCAUCCACCCGUCGCUCAUCUGCGUCCGGAAGGAAGUCAUCCGCCCGUCCCUCAUCUGCGUCCGGAAGGAAUCAUCCGCCCGUCCCUCAUCUGCGUCUGGAAGGAAGUCAUCCGCCCGUCCCUCAUCUGCGUCCUGAAGGAAGUCAUCCGCCCUUUCCUCAUCUGCGUCUGGAAGGAAGUCAUCCGCCCGUUCCUCAUCUGCGUCCUGAAGGAAUCAUCCACCCGUUCCUCAUCGGCGUCCCGAAGGAAGUCAUCCGCCCGUCCCUCAUCUGCGUCCGGAAGGAAUCAUCCGCCCGUCCCUCAUCUGCGUCUGGAAGGAAGUCAUCCGCCCGUCCCUCAUCUGCGUCUGGAAGGAAGUCAUCCGCCCGUCCCUCAUCUGCGUCCUGAAGGAAUCAUCCGCCCGUCCCUCAUCUGCGUCUGGAAGGAAGUCAUCCGCCCGUCCCUCAUCUGCGUCUGGAAGGAAGUCAUCCGCCCGUCCCUCAUCUGCGUCUGGAAGGAAGUCAUCCACCCGUCCCUCAUCUGCGUCCUGAAGGAAUCAUCCACCCGUUCCUCAUCGGCGUCCCGAAGGAAGUCAUCCGCCCGUUCCUCAUCUGCGUCCUGAAGGAAUCAUCCACCCGUUCCUCAUCGGCGUCCCGAAGGAAGUCAUCCACCCGUUCCUCAUCUGCGUCUGGAAGGAAGUCAUCCACCCGUCCCUCAUCUGCGUCCUGAAGGAAUCAUCCGCCCGUCCCUCAUCUGCGUCUGGAAGGAAGUCAUCCGCCCGUCCCUCAUCUGCGUCUGGAAGGAAGUCAUCCGCCCGUCCCUCAUCUGCGUCCUGAAGGAAUCAUCCGCCCGUCCCUCAUCUGCGUCUGGAAGGAAGUCAUCCGCCCGUCCCUCAUCUGCGUCUGGAAGGAAGUCAUCCGCCCGUCCCUCAUCUGCGUCUGGAAGGAAGUCAUCCACCCGUCCCUCAUCUGCGUCCUGAAGGAAUCAUCCACCCGUUCCUCAUCGGCGUCCCGAAGGAAGUCAUCCGCCCGUUCCUCAUCUGCGUCCUGAAGGAAUCAUCCACCCGUUCCUCAUCGGCGUCCCGAAGGAAGUCAUUCGCCCGUUCCUCAUCUGCGUCCUGAAGGAAUCAUCCACCCGUUCCUCAUCGGCGUCCCGAAGGAAGUCAUCCGCCCGUUCCUCAUCUGCGUCUGGAAGGAAGUCAUCCACCCGUCCCUCAUCUGCGUCCUGAAGGAAUCAUCCGCCCGUCCCUCAUCUGCGUCUGGAAGGAAGUCAUCCACCCGUCCCUCAUCUGCGUCUGGAAGGAAGUCAUCCGCCCGUCCCUCAUCUGCGUCCGGAAGGAAGUCAUCCACCCGUCCCUCAUCUGCGUCCGGAAGGAGGUCAUCCGCCCGUUCCUCAUCUGCGUCUGGAAGGAAUCAUCCACCCGUCCCUCAUCUGCGUCCGAAGGAAGUCAUCCGCCCGUCCCUCAUCUGCGUCCGGAAGGAGGUCAUCCGCCCGUUCCUCAUCUGCGUCCUGAAGGAGGUCAUCCGCCCGUUCCUCAUCUGCGUCUGGAAGGAAAUCAUCCGCCCGUUCCUCAUCUGCGUCCGAAGGAAGUCAUCCACCCGUCCCUCAUCUGCGUCCGGAAGGAAGUCAUCCGCCCGUCCCUCAUCUGCGUCCUGAAGGAAGUCAUCCGCCCGUUCCUCAUCUGCGUCUGGAAGGAAGUCAUCCGCCCGUCCCUCAUCUGCGUCCUGAAGGAAUCAUCCACCCGUCCCUCAUCUGCGUCCGGAAGGAAUCAUCCACCCCUCCCUCAUCUGCGUCCGGAAGGAGGUCAUCCGCCCGUUCCUCAUCUGCGUCCAGAAGGAAUCAUCCACCCGUCCCUCAUCUGCGUCCAGAAGGAAGUCAUCCACCCGUCCCUCAUCUGCGUCCGGAAGGAAGUCAUCCACCCGUCCCUCAUCUGCGUCCUGAAGGAAGUCAUCCGCCCGUUCCUCAUCUGCGUCUGGAAGGAAGUCAUCCGCCCGUCCCUCAUCUGCGUCCGGAAGGAAUCAUCCGCCCGUCCCUCAUCUGCGUCUGGAACGAAGUCAUCCGCCCGUCCCUCAUCUGCGUCCUGAAGGAAUCAUCCACCCCUCCCUCAUCUGCGUCUGGAAGGAAGUCAUCCGCCCGUCCCUCAUCUGCGUCCUGAAGGAAUCAUCCACCCGUUCCUCAUCGGCGUCCCGAAGGAAGUCAUCCGCCCGUCCCUCAUCUGCGUCUGGAAGGAAGUCAUCCGCCCGUCCCUCAUCGGCAUCCUGAAGGAAUCAUCCACCCGUUCCUCAUCGGCGUCCCGAAGGAAGUCAUCCGCCCGUCCCUCAUCUGCGUCUGGAAGGAAGUCAUCCGCCCGUCCCUCAUCUGCGUCCGGAAGGAAGUCAUCCGCCCGUCCCUCAUCUGCGUCCUGAAGGAAGUCAUCCGCCCGUCCCUCAUCUGCGUCUGGAAGGAAUCAUCCACCCGUCCCUCAUCUGCGUCUGGAAGGAAGUCAUCCACCCGUCCCUCAUCUGCGUCCUGAAGGAAUCAUCCACCCGUCCCUCAUCUGCGUCUGGAAGGAAGUCAUCCGCCCGUCCCUCAUCUGCGUCUGGAAGGAAGUCAUCCGCCCGUCCCUCAUCUGCGUCCGGAAGGAGGUCAUCCGCCCGUCCCUCAUCUGCGUCCUGAAGGAAUCAUCCACCCGUUCCUCAUCGGCGUCCCGAAGGAAGUCAUCCGCCCGUCCCUCAUCUGCGUCUGGAAGGAAGUCAUCCGCCCGUCCCUCAUCUGCGUCCUGAAGGAAUCAUCCGCCCGUCCCUCAUCUGCGUCCGGAAGGAGGUCAUCCGCCCGUUCCUCAUCUGCGUCUGGAAGGAAUCAUCCACCCGUCCCUCAUCUGCGUCCGGAAGGAAGUCAUCUGCCCGUCCCUCAUCUGCGUCUGGAAGGAAUCAUCCACCCGUCCCUCAUCUGCGUCCUGAAGGAAUCAUCCACCCGUCCCUCAUCUGCGUCCGGAAGGAGGUCAUCCGCCCGUUCCUCAUCUGCGUCCGGAAGGAAUCAUCCACCCGUCCCUCAUCUGCGUCCUGAAGGAAUCAUCCACCCAUCCCUCAUCUGCGUCUGGAAGGAAGUCAUCCGCCCGUCCCUCAUCUGCGUCCUGAAGGAAGUCAUCCGCCCGUUCCUCAUCUGCGUCUGGAAGGAAGUCAUCCGCCCGUCCCUCAUCUGCGUCCUGAAGGAAUCAUCCACCCGUUCCUCAUCUGCGUCCUGAAGGAAGUCAUCCACCCGUCCCUCAUCUGCGUCUGGAAGGAAUCAUCCACCCGUCCCUCAUCUGCGUCCUGAAGGAAUCAUCCACCCGUCCCUCAUCUGCGUCUGGAAGGAAGUCAUCCGCCCGUCCCUCAUCUGCGUCCUGAAGGAAUCAUCCACCCGUCCCUCAUCUGCGUCCUGAAGGAAUCAUCCACCCGUUCCUCAUCGGCGUCCCGAAGGAAGUCAUCCGCCCGUCCCUCAUCUGCGUCUGGAAGGAAUCAUCCGCCCGUUCCUCAUCUGCGUCCGGAAGGAAUCAUCCGCCCGUCCCUCAUCUGCGUCCCGAAGGAAGUCAUCCGCCCGUCCCUCAUCUGCGUCCCGAAGGAAGUCAUCCGCCCGUCCCUCAUCUGCGUCCGGAAGGAAGUCAUCCGCCCGUCCCUCAUCUGCGUCCGGAAGGAAGUCAUCCACCCGUCCCUCAUCUGCGUCCGGAAGGAAGUCAUCCACCCGUCCCUCAUCUGCGUCCGGAAGGAAGUCAUCCGCCCGUCCCUCAUCUGCGUCCGGAAGGAAUCAUCCACCCGUCCCUCAUCUGCGUCCUGAAGGAAUCAUCCACCCGUUUCUCAUCAGGCUGUGCUGGACGGGGCAUGACUAGCGCUUCCUCUGCAGGCUCAUGGAGUAUGUUCCGGGCUGUGAGCUCUUCAGCUACCUGCGCAACCGGGGGCUCUUCUACUCUGCAGAGAUCAUCUGUGCCAUCCUGCACUCUAAGGAGAUCAUCUACAGGGACUUGAAGCCGGAGAACAUCCUGCUGGAUAGGGACGGACACAUCAAGCUCACGGACUUUGGGUUCGCCAAGAAGCUGGUAGACAGGACUUGGACCCUCUGCGGAAUACCCGAGUACCUGGCCCCCGAAGUCAUUCAGAGCGAGGGUCACGGAAGGGCUGUGGACUGGUGGGCCCUCAGCAUCCUGAUAUUCGAGAUGCUCUCGGGAUUUCCUCCAUUUGUGUGUGUGUGUGUGUGUGUGUGUGUGUGUGUGUGUGUGUGUGACAACAUGUUUGGCAUUUAUCAGAAAAUUCUUGCAGACAAGAUAGAUUUCCCCAGACAUUUGGAUUUCCAUGUGAAAGAUCUCAUUAAGAAACUGCUCGUGGUUGACAGAACAAGGUGGUUAGGAAAUAUGAAGAACGGGGCGAAUGAUGUGAAACGCCAUCGGUGGUUCCGCUCUGUGGACUGGGAAGCUGUUCCUCAGAGAAAACUGAAGCCUCCCAUCGUGCCCAAGAUAGCCCGCGAAGGCGACACCUCCAACUUCGGAACUUACCCCGAGAAUGACUGGGACACAGCCGCGACCGUGCCGCAGAAGGGUUUAGAAAUCUUCAAGAAUUUCUGAGGACAGGAGCUCACAUCUGGAAGAAGCAGGAAGGCUGGAAUCUGCCUGCAACAAAGAGCUGCUCCUGAGCAGACCAGUAGCAAUGUCUUCUUCACGUGAUAAGGACAUUUCCACUUUUCUGUCUUUGUGCCUGUAUGUAUAGAAACAGAUCAGAGCACAGUUGAAAUUAAUGUAACUGGCAUUAUUUAAGCAACUGGAAUUCCACACUGUAGGAAGGUUUUGAAAAUUGUUUGCUUGUAGAUUUUAUCUUAUCCUUUAGUGUUGUGUUCCUACUGUGAUGUCUUGGUUUUUCUCAUAGACUUAAGUUUAUAAGUUUGAACUGGACUUGUUCAAUUAUAACCACAAAUUGUGUGUGUGUGUGUGUGUGUGUGCAUGCGCGCGCCUGUGUGUAUAUAUAGAAGUCAUUAUGGCAGAUCCACAGAAAUUGUGCAAUGAUGUAAAUGUUCAUACUUCACAGAGCCUAUAAUUUUUAUUUUUCAAUUUGUUUUUUCAAAAAUCUCUUCUCUUGGGGACAACAUCUGAAGGGUCUGUUGCAUGGAUUUAAAAAAAUCAUCUCACAUGCAUUUUUUAGUUUGGGUGAAGAAAACAUCAUGGGGAGGUCCAUCUUCAGUAUCUUUAGUGCUUCCUACCUGGUAACUUGAGACUUUAAAAGAAGAAACAAAGAGAAGAAGAUAUGGGAGUGAAUUUAUUCCAAGAAUCUACAAUGACAUUGAAGUUGUUGGAGGAAUAUACUGUAUUUAAAAAACCUGUGUCACAUUCAAAAAUUUCAUCUAAGCUGGGCGCAGUGGCUUGUUCCUGUAGUCCCAGCACUUCAGGAGGCUGAGGUGGGUGGAUUGCUUGAGCCCAGGAGUUGGAGACCAGUCUGGGAAACAUGGUGAGAUGUCAUCUCUCUACAAAAUACAAAAAAAUUAGCCGGGCAUGGUGGCGCUUGCCUAUAGUCUCAGCUACUCGGGAGGCUGAAAUGAGAGGAUCACUUGAGCCCGGGGAGGUCCAGGCCGCAGUGAUCCGAGAUCACACCACUGCACUCCAGCCUGGGUGACAGAGUGAGACCCUGUCUAAAUUAAAAAAAAAAAAAAGGCAAUGGCUUUGUGCUUUUGAAGGUGGAAUGAAAGGUGGAAUGAAGACACAUCCACCUUAAGGCUUUAAAAGACCAUGAAGCUGGGUGCAGUGGCUCACUCCUGUAAUCCUAGGAUUUGGGGAAGCCAAGGCAGGAGGAUUGCUUGAGCCUAGGAGUUUGAGACCAGCCUGGGCAGCAUAGCAAGACCCCAUCUCUAUAAAAGGAAAAAAAUGUUAAAACACAGUGAAACUGCAGAAACAGAACAUAGCCACCCUUUUUCAUUAAUGACCUUUUCUUCACGUGGUGGUCAACUCAGCAGGUGAGAAUAAUUAGUAGGUUCAGUAGAAUAAAGUCUUUACAAUUAAUAACUUAGUGGAAAAUGAUGUUCAGAUGAUGAAAUGUGGAAAUGUUUUAGACAGCUGUAUUUUCAGCCUGUGUGUCUCAGUCACCAUCCUGUUGGGAUUAACAGUUGAGGGCCAUCAUUUUCUAAACAUUUCACAUGCAGUUUCCCAUAAUUUUUACCGUGAAUGUGAAAAGGUGAAACUGGUGCUGACUUCAGCGGCAGGUAUACUAAAAUUAGAAUGACACAGAGGAGAUUAGCAUGGCCCCCUGUGCAAGGAAGAUCCAGAUUCAUGCCGCAUUCCAUAUUUUUUUUUAAAAAAGGUUACACUGUGCACCGAGAUGUGCAGCUAGAAGGAAGAGCAUGAAGUCUCGUGUUUGCUGACUAUAAAAAUAAAUCAUAGUAAUAAUAUUGUUGAAAAUUCUGCUUUAAAAAUUAUUAAUAAAACCAUAAAUGAAACACUAUUCUUGAGCACACUUUAAAAAGUACAUAGACCCAUAAGUCCAUGUACUAAAAAAUGCCUAUUUUUAGGUUGCCUGUUUUGUAAUCCAGGAUUUCAUACUGAGAUGAAAAUUAGCAUCAGGAAAAGCCUGAAAUGCCUUGCCUUAAUUGUGAACAGAUACUGGGGAACCUGCCCCGAUAUUCACGUAGGUUCUUUUCUGUUUUCCUUAAGCAUCGGCCAGCUUGAGAAAUAAAGGGACAGAGUACAAAAGAGAGAAAUUUUAAAGCUGAGCGUCCGGGGGAGACAUCACAUGUCGGUAGGUUCCGUGAUGCCCCACAAGCCACAAAAACCAGCAAGUUUUUAUUAGGGAUUUUCAAAAGGGGAGGGAGUGUGCGAAUAGGUGUGGGUCACAGACAUCAAGUACUUCAGAAGGUAAUAGAAUAUCACAAGGCAAGUGGAGGCAGGGUGAGAUCACAGGACCACAGGACCGAGGCGAAAUUAAAAUUGCUAAUGAAGUUUCGGGCACCAUUGUCAUUGAUAACAUCUUAUCAGGAGACAGGGUUUUUGAGAUCAACCGGUCUGACCAAAAUUUAUUAGGCGGGAAUUUCCUCUUCCUAAUAAGCCUGGGAGCGCUAUGGGAGACUGAGGUCUAUUUCACCCCUGCAGUCUUGACCAUAAGAGAUGACCACGCCCAGGGGGGCCAGUUCAGAGACCCACCCCCAGGCGCACAUUCUCUUUCUCAGGGAUGUUCCUUGCUGAGAAAAAUAAUUCAGCGAUAUUUCUCCCAUUUGCUUUUGAAAGAAGAGAAAUAUGGCUCUGUUCCGCCUGGCUCACCGGCAGUCAGAGUUUAAGGCUAUCUCUCUUAUUCCCUGAACAAUUGCUGUUAUCCUGUUCUUUUUUCAAGGUACCCAGAUUUCAUACUGCUCAAACACACAUGCUGUACAAUUUGUGCAGUUAAUGCAAUUAUUACAGGGUCCUGAGGUGACAUACAUCUUCGUCAGCUGACAGGAUUAAGAGAUUAAAGACAGGCAUAGGAAAUCACAAGAGUAUUGAUUGGGGAAGUGAUAAGUGUCCAUGAAAUCUUUACAAUUUAUGUUUAGAGAUUGCAGUAAAGACAGGCAUAAGAAAUUACAAAAGUAUUAAUUUGGGGAACUAAUAAACGUCCAUGAAAUCUUCACAAUCCACGUUCUUCUGCCAUGGCUUCAGCCGGUCCCUCCGUUUGGGGUCCCUGACUUCCCGCAACAAACAGAUAUGCAUGAAAAUGAAAUAUGCAAAGCACAUUGAUGACCUUGUUCUUUACGGACAUUGUAAUCAGCCUCUAGCCAUACAGAACAAAUGAGAAAUUAGAAGCACUUCCAAGAACGUGUGAUGGUGUGAAACCCACUUUUGACCAUCAUGCACAUUUCAACAUUUGAAGUGAGACAGGCUACCUGGUAACUGCCCCAUGGCGGGGUCAUAGUUUAAAUGGCCCAAUGUCCUGUAGAGGUUAAUUUAAUCAAAAUGAGCUAUAAACAUAGAACAAUCACUAUGUAUAAUUUUAAAAUAGUUUACCUGGCCCGUCAUGGUGGCUCACGCCUGUGAUCCCAGCACUUUGGGAGGCCGAGGUGGGCAGAUCACCCACGGUUGGGAGUUCGAGACCAGCCUGGCCCGCAUGGCGAAACCCCCAUCUCUACUAAAACUACAAAAAUUAGGCAUGCUGGUGGGUGCCUGUGGCCCCAGCUGCUCAGGAGGCUGAGGCAGGAGAAUCGCUUGGAUUCGGGAGGCGGAGGCUGCAAUGAGCCAGGAUUGUGCCUCUGCACUCUAGCCUGGGUGACAGGGCAAGACUCCAUCUCAAAAAAUAAAAAUAAAAAUAGUUUAUCUGGGUGGGCAUUCCAAAAUUUCCGCAUAGAUGAUCACGUGAAACAAUCACUGUGCUAAAUGUGGAGGAAAAUUCAUCACGAUAAUCACAAAAUUUGUAUCAGAAAAAAAUUACAAAUGUACUUUGUUUCAUGUAAUUUUAUGAGUUGGAAGUAUUUUCUUAAAUUGGAACACUAUAAGAUAAUAUCUUUAGGAAAUGGAUAUGCCACAAUAGGAAGUAUAGUGGGGCAAGUCUUGUUUUUCUCAAGGGAAAAGCCACCAGCCUGCUUUCAUAGGCAUUGAUAAAACCAGGAAGAAAAUAAAGUCACAACCAAAUAGUAUACACUGUCUCUACUGAAUUCUUCUAAUUCCUUCCCAACAGAAGUCUAAAUCCUGCUUAGCCUAAACAUAUCUAUAGCCAGCGAUGGGCAAAUUAUAUUUGCUGUCAGCAUGAUAGAAUAAGAAUCAGAAACCCCCCAGCAGUGGGGUAAGAUCGUGCACUUCAUCCCCUCAAAAUGCUGUCAACCCCAUUCCCUCUCCAUGCCCUCAAACAACUGCACAGUCACUUGUUAGUGAAUUUCUCGUUCAGCGUUUUGUUUUUUUCUCUCCAUACUUAAAGACCAAAUCAUUUGUUUGCUCUGAAGAAAAAGAAAAAACAAAACAAAACAAAAAACCACCCACCAAAUCAUUUGAAAUCACUACCCGUUAAAAAAAAUCACCAGUGGAACUAAACAGUUGAGUGGUUUGGGAUGUGUUCGCCAUUUCUGUGUUUGACCUACAUGGCCUCUAGUUCUUUGGACCACUGUAACUGUGAAACCAUGGCUUAAUACUGUUAAAGACCCCAAGGCUCAACUCUGUAGCCAGGGUGUACCUCAGGCUGCACAAAUAUCACACCAGAAUGUCACAAUCAUUCAUUGCUCCAGCUACUGAGUGAACAGGGUGCAAGACAGCACUGGCUUGGGUUGUAUUUUUGCAGCCAGUUAACUUUGCAUCAGGUCUACACAGUCCUUGCAGCCUUUGAUUUCUCCAGUUGUAGAGAUUUGAAAUGGGGUGCCCGGGUUCCUCUCGUUUUUCCUUCAACCUACCUAGCAUGCAUUUUACACACAUUGGAGGAGUCUUAUGCACUGUUUUUCUCUGUUGCUGAUGGAGGCAAGAAGGCCUUCUAAUUAGUCUAACUUAAACGGACGGGAUUCACCUAACAAAAGCAAGAAGAAAAGCACAAGAACAGGUGUCUUAAUGCAUUUGGAUAAUUUAUUUGGGGUGUGUGCGUGUGUGUGUGUGUCUUGGUGGAGGUGGGGGCCGUGUUCUCACCAAGCCUUUUCAUAAUCAAGUUUGCUUUGCAAACUUUAUGGCCUUACACCCAGCAGAACAGUCCUUGCUAAUAAAAGGAGGAUGCCCUGUCACAGUUCUCUGUAAAUUAUCAUGUGUUGGGAAGUUCUGUUGAUGCUUAGUUUGAUCUUCCAUGGUGGACACAUCUGUUCUGUAUGUACAAGGCAUUACAUGUGUGUUUUAGCGGAUGGGAAUUGAAGCCUUUCCACAGUCCUUGUGCUCUGAGAUGGCUGUUGAGCUCUGCUCAGCUGUCGUAGCUGAAUUCUUUUUUUGUGCUGAACACUGGGCAGCCUCACCAUGUUGUCAAUGUGCUUCUGGGGCCCCUGUGACUGCUGCCAGAUGCCAUGCACACAAGCAGAGUGCCUUUGCAGGUUUGUGCACCCCUUGGCGAGCUGGAACUGGGAGCCCUGUGGGGUGAUCUCGCCUUCUCAUGGGGGGUCGGGGAGGGGAGUGCCUAUUUUUAAUCUUGUCUGUUUGUUGCACCAUGGAAAUCACUGUGAUUUGUAUAUAUGCCCUAGGAAAUUUUUACUGCAGUCUAAUUUAUGUAAUAAUGUUGAUUCCAGGUUUGUUUAAUAAAGCUUUGUAUCUUUUAAGAAAAAAAAAACUGUAGCAUGUAGAGGAAAGUGCACUGGGAUAAUCCAAGGCCAGGCUUUGAGGUUCCACCGCUACAUUAUGUGACUCUUAGUCUAAACCUUUUGGUGUAAUUUCUUUGGUCUGAUUAUUUAUAAGUAGCAGAUAAUAAAUGAAUUUUAUACUACAAACACAAGUGACAA
Molecule: RNA transcript, 11532 nt
Organism: Homo sapiens (human)
Lineage: Eukaryota; Metazoa; Chordata; Mammalia; Primates; Hominidae
Gene: PRKXP1
Gene name: PRKX pseudogene 1
Exons: 1
Source: RefSeq, marked validated